RNAcentral lists this ribosomal RNA (373 nucleotides) under uncultured Pseudomonas sp. RNAcentral describes it as "bacterial SSU rRNA". It matches the Rfam family "Bacterial small subunit ribosomal RNA", at positions 1017 to 1382 of the family's 1533-position model. Lineage: Bacteria; Pseudomonadati; Pseudomonadota; Gammaproteobacteria; Pseudomonadales; Pseudomonadaceae. The record is from RNAcentral.
CCUUCGGGAACUCAGACACAGGUGCUGCAUGGCUGUCGUCAGCUCGUGUCGUGAGAUGUUGGGUUAAGUCCCGUAACGAGCGUCAACCCUUGUCCUUAGUUACCAGCACGUAAUGGUGGGCACUCUAAGGAGGACUGCCGGUGACGAAACCGGAGGAAGGUGGGAUGACGUCAAGGUCAUCAUGGCCCUUACGGCCAGGGCUACACACGGUGCUACAAUGGUCGGUACAAAGGGUUGCCAAGCCGCGAGGUGGAGCUAAGUCCCAUAAAGCCUGGCCUCAGUUCAGAUUGCAGGCUGCAACUCGCCUGCAUGAAGUUGGAGUUGCUAGUAACCGCGCGUCAGCCAUAGUGCGGUGAAUACGUUCCCGGGCCUU